This 468-nucleotide ribosomal RNA is filed under the name uncultured bacterium. RNAcentral's name for it is "partial 16S ribosomal RNA". It matches the Rfam family "Bacterial small subunit ribosomal RNA", at positions 28 to 507 of the family's 1533-position model. The record is from RNAcentral.
GACGAGCGCUGGCGGCGUGCUUAACACAUGCAAGUCGAACGGAAAGGCCCUGCUUUUGUGGGGUGCUCGAGUGGCGAACGGGUGAGUAACACGUGAGUAACCUGCCCUUGACUUUGGGAUAUCUUCAGGAAACUGGGGCUAAUACCGGAUAGGAGCUCCUGCUGCAUGGUGGGGGUUGGAAAGUUUCGGCGGUUGGGGAUGGACUCGCGGCUUAUCAGCUUGUUGGUGGGGUAGUGGCUUACCAAGGCUUUGACGGGUAGCCGGCCUGAGAGGGUGACCGGCCACAUUGGGACUGAGAUACGGCCCAGACUCCUACGGGAGGCAGCAGUGGGGAAUAUUGCACAAUGGGCGGAAGCCUGAUGCAGCAACGCCGCGUGCGGGAUGACGGCCUUCGGGUUGUAAACCGCUUUCGCCUGUGACGAAGCGUGAGUGACGGUAAUGGGUAAAGAAGCACCGGCUAACUACGUG